CCUUUGACGUUAGCGGCGGACGGGUGAGUAACACGUGGGUAACCUACCUAUAAGACUGGGAUAACUUCGGGAAACCGGAGCUAAUACCGGAUAAUAUUUCGAACCGCAUGGUUCGAUAGUGAAAGAUGGUUUUGCUAUCACUUAUAGAUGGACCCGCGCCGUAUUAGCUAGUUGGUAAGGUAACGGCUUACCAAGGCGACGAUACGUAGCCGACCUGAGAGGGUGAUCGGCCACACUGUAACUGAGACACGGUCCAGACUCCUACGGGAGGCAGCAGCC
This 279-nucleotide ribosomal RNA is filed under the name uncultured Staphylococcus sp. Its description in RNAcentral is "partial 16S ribosomal RNA". It matches the Rfam family "Bacterial small subunit ribosomal RNA", at positions 83 to 355 of the family's 1533-position model. Lineage: Bacteria; Bacillati; Bacillota; Bacilli; Caryophanales; Staphylococcaceae. The record is from RNAcentral.